CCUACGGGUGGCUGCAGUGGGGAAUAUUGCACAAUGGGCGCAAGCCUGAUGCAGCCAUGCCGCGUGUGUGAAGAAGGCCUUCGGGUUGUAAAGCACUUUCAGCGGGGAGGAAGGCGUUAAGGUUAAUAACCUUGGCGAUUGACGUUACCCGCAGAAGAAGCACCGGCUAACUCCGUGCCAGCAGCCGCGGUAAUACGGAGGGUGCAAGCGUUAAUCGGAAUUACUGGGCGUAAAGCGCACGCAGGCGGCCUGUCAAGUCGGAUGUGAAAUCCCCGGGCUCAACCUGGGAACUGCAUUCGAAACUGGCAGGCUAGAGCCUUGUAGAGGGGGGUAGAAUUCCAGGUGUAGCGGUGAAAUGCGUAGAGAUCUGGAGGAAUACCGGUGGCGAAGGCGGCCCCCUGGACAAAGACUGACGCUCAGGUGCGAAAGCGUGGGGAGCAAACAGGAUUAGAUACCCUUGUAGUC
Molecule: ribosomal RNA, 465 nt
Filed under: uncultured Klebsiella sp.
Lineage: Bacteria; Pseudomonadati; Pseudomonadota; Gammaproteobacteria; Enterobacterales; Enterobacteriaceae
Description: bacterial SSU rRNA
Rfam family: Bacterial small subunit ribosomal RNA
Source: RNAcentral